Molecule: long non-coding RNA, 2201 nt
Organism: Vombatus ursinus (common wombat)
Lineage: Eukaryota; Metazoa; Chordata; Mammalia; Diprotodontia; Vombatidae
Exons: 9
Source: RefSeq, a predicted model, not a curated record
AGCAACUUGUACUGGCAUCCUCAAUCUUUAACUUGCUGUCUACCAUGCUUCUGUCAAGAUCCAACUGUGAGGGUCUCACACACUGAAGCCAAAGAGAGAACACUAAUGGGUGAAAAUAAAAAUGUGGUGAAAGGUGAUCCUUCUAACUCAGCAACAAGAUUUGGAUGUGGGAGAAGAUACGUUUGAUGGGCGUUCAUACUGACACAUGAAAUUUGGUUAUAGACCUAGAAGAAACCUCAAGGAUCAUCUAGGGCAAUAAGAAAGAGCAUCCUGAAGAGCUGGAGAGAUUUUUCCAAGGCCAUACAACUGGUAGUAGACUUAGGACUGUCAUUCAUUCUUCCUGUCUCUUUCCAACCAGUUUACCAGUCUGUAAAAUGGAGAUAAUAGUAUUCAUUUUACCUGUAUCACAAGUUGUUGGGCGGAUUGAAUAAGAUAAGGUUGAAGUCAAUCCCUCUUUAGGCAAACUUCUAACUGAAGAAGAGGUUUUGAAUGCCAUUGGUCUUCUUUGUGUGGCAAAGCUCCUGGUGUUGAUUCUAUUCCAGCAGAGAUCGACAAGACAGAAGGUCCACUGCUUAUACAAACACUGAUGGAAAUCUGGGUUAUUUGGUGAGAGAAGAUUAUUUCCCAGGAGAUAAAGGAUGUCUCUAUUGUCCAUCUAUAUAAAGAAAAGCAUCUGAUUGCUCAAUGGUGAGGAAUUUUUCAGCUUUAGCAACACUGGAAGACUGUCUCUACCCAAAUUAUAGGAGGAUAUCUUUGCUGCUGUACAGAGCUUCUACACCAAUAAGACCUCAAAUGCAGGAAAAAUGGGACGUGACAGCCUCAACUCUGGAGGUGCUGCUAGGCCUGAGACCCAGCCAAGUUCUUGCUCUACCCCAGGGGAAGUUCUUUGUAAAUAGGUACUAUAUGAAUCAGCCAGGACUGGGUCUAGCUAAAACUGAGAAGUCAGUGAAAUUUUGUAUUUGAUGCCUUCCCAAGUAUACUAUGGACAUUUUCGUGCUGUGUACUGACUUCUCUCCUUGUUUCUUCAUGGACUGUGUGUCUCAUCAUGGCACUGUAGAGAAAGGAAAACAACAAUUGAGGGGAGAAAGAUUUAGAGAAUUCAGUGAUGGAAGAGGCUCUCCCUUUCUGACUUGAACUUCUGAUCAUGAUGAAAUAUCUCUUCAGGCAAGAGGCUGAACUGUAUUGUCCUUUUGUGAGAAGAUGUUGAAGAUCAACAAAGUUUAUCUUUCUCCAACUCUUUUUUACUUACAUGUUAUUAAUGAUCUAUAUAUGAUGUUUCCUUGUUAUGUUCUAAGCACUUCCUUGAUAUUGACUUCAUUCUUUCUACAUGUACAUUUAGAGUAGAUCAGGAAAUAUUGCAUUUCCCAGGGUGUGAUUUGGUUGGUUGCCUCCAUUGGGUUCAAAUGGGGAAGACUUUGGCUUUUUGCUUCCUCAGAGUUUAACUGACUGGGAAGUUUGCUUUCCAGCUUGGACAUUAGGUGCUUCCUGGGGGUAUGAUGAGCUAUUAUGUAUUUUAUGAAUAAUUCUAGAAACCUUCCCUGUGCAAAAUUUUAAGUUGAAUCCAAUUCUUCACCUCUAUUAUAAUGGGCUUAUUGUUUUAAUAAGAUGUGCUGGAUAAAAAUCUCUAAUCCUUCCUCUAGUGUGUAUGUGGGGGGUUGGGAUUGGAGGAGGUUUGAGAGAAUAGUGUGUCCCUUGGCAAAUCUCUGCCUUAUGUCUGAAAGGAUAUGGGGAGAAAUGAGAGGGAGAAAGAAGAGAGGGAGAAAGAGAGGAAGUCUGAUAUCGGAAGAGAAAAUUCUGCCUCUGACUCACACCAUGUGUAAAGACAAGUAUCUGAGAGAAUUCAACUCCUUCUCACAGAAAGGAGGGUAGAGGAAAAUGCUUCUUUGCCAGCCAACCUUGUUAGCCAUCACGACGCCUACACAUUAUACUGGAAUUGAGGUGUGACCUUAGUUUAUUACAGUCAUCACUGGCUAUGAGUAAGAGGUAGGGUUUCUUUUGGAGGAGGAAUGGUCCAGACCUGUAAUUUAAUGGGUAUAUAAAACUCCUUAGAAACUCCAGAUCCUACAUUUGUUGUCUAGUCAUUCAGUUGUAUCUGAUCCUUCACUCCAAGAACCAUUUCAUGCCAAUAAUGUCCAUGGAAUUUUCUUGGCAAAGAUAAUGGAAUGAUUUGUCAUUUCCUUCUCCAGUGGAUUAAGGCAAAC